CUUACAUACUGCAGAUGCUAUCUAUAAACUCCCCCUUCAAUUUUAAGUGAAGUGUUUAUCAGGUGGGAAAAUCUCUCCAAAAAGGAUAAAAAUAUCAGAGACAGCCAGACAAUAUUUGGUUCACUAGAGAAAAAUAUCAGUUUCUUACAGGGAGUAGAGGAAGCAGCAGAAACUGUACAUAACCAGAAAACAAAAGCAUAAUUGUUAAUGUUAUUUGAAAUCCACGAAUGCCUUAUUUGGUGCUCUCACCUGAGAUGGAAGACCAUCAGCUUUUUCUAAAUGAGCGUGCUGAUAUUUUCCAGUAAUUCUCAGUUUUAAAGCAGUGACAGGAUUUCAAAGGAAGAAAGACAAAAACAAUUUUCUGUUGAGAAAUACAGUCCAUAAUUCAGAAGACACUGAGGAUGCAGAAAAAGAGUGACAACAGGCCAAGUGUAAAUUGUCAGGAAUGUAAAGGCUCUUAGUGCAAAUGAGAAGUAGGCUUCCAAGAGCUUUUCAUCUGAUGAUUGUGAAGUGAUUCAUGCUGCACUGCUACUGCUGCCAUUAAGGAUGAGAAGACAGAAUGAACUGUGGGAGAUUGACAGUUUUGUAAAUCAGGACAUAAAUACUGAGUUGCAGGCGCCUGAAAACUCAGGACUCAUAAAGGAGCAGCAGAAAGUAAAGGCUGUGACACUGAAUUGGGAGUCUUGAAAAUGAGUUCUGUUUUCGGCUCUGCAGGAACUGGACUGUAACACAUUGUAUGACCCCACAUGGAGGAAGAAAAAGGAG
Molecule: long non-coding RNA, 765 nt
Filed under: Zonotrichia albicollis (white-throated sparrow)
Lineage: Eukaryota; Metazoa; Chordata; Aves; Passeriformes; Passerellidae
Description: lncRNA (ENSZALG00000006032.1)
Source: RNAcentral